GAGAGAGAGGGAGAGAGACAGAGAGAGAGAGAGAGAGGAAGGGAGGGGGAAGAGACAAGCCAGCGGAGGGAGCAGAGACAAAGCUUGCUGACGGAGGAAGUGAAGUGUGCUCUGCAGCAUGUGGACCAUGUGCUCAGCAGAUAACUGCAGAGUGUCGAGCCCACGGAAGGUGUCUGCAACCAUGGGCUCUCUGCUGCACAGCUGUCGGUGUUUGGAGCAGCAAGGAGCGGAGGAAGGAGCCUCGACCCUGGAGACAGACAACCACAAAAACCUGUCCAUCAGAACCUGAAAUCGUCAAGAUGACAUGGUGGAGACAUCCUUCUACAGGUAAUUGGUAUUUUUCUAGCUGUUAUACAGAGUUUAUGGAGGAUUACAUUUUCCUGUUUGUCCAGGCCCUCCGAUGUAGGCUUUCAAAUUAACGUUUCGUUCCAGCCUUAUUCUAAAAUUGAUUAAAAUGUUUCCCCCCCCCCCCUCAUCAAUGUACACACAAUACACCAUAAUGACAAAGCAAAACCAGGAUUUUACACAUUUUUGCAAAUGUAUUCAAAAUAAAAAACGGAAAUAUCACAUUUAUGUAGGUAUUCAGACUGUUUACUCAGUACUUUGUUGAAGCACCUUUGUCAGCAAUUACAGCAUCGAGUCUUCUUGGGUAUGACACUACAAGCUUGGCACACCUGUAUUUGGGGUGUUUCUCCCAUUCUUUGCAGAUCCUCUCAAGCUCUGUCAGGUUUGAUGGGGAGCAUCACUGCACAGCUAUCUUCAGGUCUCUCCAGAGAUGUUAGAUCGGGUUCAAGUCCGGGCUCUGGCUGGGCCACUCAAGGACAUUGUCCCGAAGCGACUUCUGUACUGUAUUGGCUGUGUGCUUAGGGUCGUUGUCCUGUUGGAAGAUGAACCUUCACCCCAGUCUAAGGUCAUGAGCGCUCUGGAGCAAGUUUUCAUCAAUGUUCUCACUCUACUUUGCUCUGUUCAUCUUUGCCUCGAUCUUAACUAGUCUCCCAGUCCCUGCCACUAAAAAAUAUCCCCACAGCAUGAUGCUGCCAUCACCAUGCUUCACCGUAGGGAUGGUGCCAAGUUUCCUCCAGACGUGACGCUUAGCAUUCCGGCCAAAGAGUUCAAUCUUGGUUUAAUCAGACAGGAGAAUCUUGUUUCUUAUGGUCUGACAGUCCUUUAGGUGCGUUUUGGCAAACUCCAAGUGUGCUGCCAUGUGCCUUUUACUGAGUAGUGGAUCAAGGAGGAAUCUUGGUGGUUCCAAACGUCUUCAAUUUAAGAAUGAUGGAGGCCAUUGCAAUCUUGGGGACCUUCAAUGCUGCAGACAUUUUUUGGUACCCUUCCCCAGAUCUGUGCCUCGACACAAUCCUGUCUCGGAGCUCUAUGGACAAUUCCUUCGACCUCAUGGCUUGGUUAUUUCUCUAACAUGCACUGUCAACUGUGAACUGUCACUGUCAACUGUCAACCUUAUAUAGACAGGUGUGUUCCUUUCCAAAUCUAAUUGAAUUUACUACAGGUGGACUCCAAUCAAGUUGUAGAAACAUCUCAAGGAUGAUCAAUGGAAACUGGAUGGAUGCACCUGAGCUCAAUUUCGAGUCUCAUAGCAAAGAGUCUGAAUACUUUUGUAAAUAAGGUAUUUCUGUUAUUUAUUUUUAAUACAUUUGAGAGAAAAAAAUCAAAAAAACGGUGUUUGCUUUGUCAUUAUGGGGUAUUGUGUGUAGAUUGAUGAGCAAAAACAGUCAUUUAAUCAAUUUUAGAAUAAGGCUGUAAUUUAACAAAAUGUGAAACAUAUCAUGGGGUCUGAAUACUUUCCAAAUGCACUGUAUACCUGUUAUUAAGUUUCCAUUGUCCUGAAGUGGUGAUAUCCAUGGAAGUACUGUACAAGUCUAGCUCUUGCCCUAUAUUUUUAGUUUGACUAUAGUCAGACUCUUUGACUGUGACUUUGUGUUUCUAUUAAGUGAAUGAGCUCACCAUUUCUAGGGUUUUGGGUCAAGGAUAUUUCAUGUCUAAUUCAGUCAAGGGAUUAUAUCGUUAUUUUACAAUUAUUACAAUUAUAUAGCCAUAAUUCAGAGGAUUGUCCUUUCAUUCUCUCAGCUCUUUCAAUCUUUCAUUCUGUCAAUAUUUCAUUCUGUUCUUCCUCUGGCUUAACAUAACACCUCCUACAGUGUGUCUAAUCAUCAGAUCAUGAGUCAUGACUCUUGAUGUAUUUUGAGAGGCACUGGAUGCUAUUUAGCUCUAGCAAUAAGAGCUAUCUGAGCAAUGUAGCUCCUGUGAGUACAUGUCUACCAAGAAGGACAAGAGAGUAGUUACACUCUUAGAAAUAAGGUGGUAUCUAGAACCUAAAAGGGUUCUUCAUUUGAAGAACCCUUUUUGGUUCCAGGUAGAACCCUUUUGGGUUCCAUGUAAAGCCCUUUCUACAGAGGGUUCUACAUGGAACCCAAAAGGGCUCUGCCUGGAAACAAAAAGGGUUCUCCUAUGGGGACAGCUGAAGAACCCUUUUGGAACCCUUUUUUCUAAGAGUGUAUGGUUUGGCUGAAUGUAAACUGAAUUCAAAAAGGCAGAGUGAUUCAUACAGUACACACACCCCCAUGUUUCCCCUGCCUCUGCUCUCCUCAGAUGUAAGACACAUGACAUCAUUAAAAGGGAGCUCUCAAGCUCAGUGUGGGUUCCUCGUGUGGGUAGACUGUGUGUGUGUGUGUGUGUUUGUUUGUGUGUGUCUGUGUGGGAGAGAGAAUGAAGCCAUCCAAAGCGCCAGACCCAUUGGUCCAUGUUCACUGUAUGCGUGCCCUACUGGAGGCUCUCGUACUGGGAUACGCUCACUCCCACAUCAGGGUAGAGGCUGGGGCUGAGUGAGAGAGGGAGUGGGAAGAGAGGAGUGAGAGAGAGAGAAAGAGAGGAGAGAGCCGGAGGGAGUCAGUGGGAAGAGAGCUCUGCCCCACAGCAUAGAGAGGGUGUUUUUAGGUAUGGUACAUGCACACACAAACACACAAACACAGAUCAAUCUAAAUACAGUUGCUGCUGGAGCUGCGUUGAUGCAGUUACUUUAAUCUUAGGAUUUUGUCAAGAUUAGCUCAAGAUUGAUCUGCUGUUUUGAAGUCUAUAAAAUUGUACGUAUGUUUCAUACAGUUCUCCUGGUUUCAGUCUCAUUGAAAAGUUAAUAUAUGAAUAGUUUCAUUCCAAAAUACAAUACAUACAUUUUCUGAAAUAUUGGUAAAUUAGUUUUUAUUGUUUAAAGAAAUGUUGAUUGACAUUGGGUUGUUUAAUGACAGACAUGUAUUUGUUUAAAAUCUGGUUUCAUUUCAGAGAGACAAAUAAUCAUGUCUUUUUUUGCAAAAUGCUACAUAUCAGCCUCACUCUCAGAGAAAUAAGAAUACUGCUAUGUUUUACACAGUCAAAUGUAACAAAUAAAUACAUGUGUAAUAAAGAAAUGUACAAAUGAUAAAUUGCAUUUUU
This is a long non-coding RNA of Oncorhynchus masou masou (cherry salmon), 3441 nucleotides long. RefSeq lists it as uncharacterized. The record is from RefSeq and is a predicted model, not a curated record. The transcript has 3 exons. NCBI's taxonomy places the organism in Eukaryota, Metazoa, Chordata, Actinopteri, Salmoniformes, Salmonidae.